AGAUGAGCCAGCUUCCAGCCACCUCCACCAAAGUACCAGGCAUAUUAUGGCAAAGCUUCAUAACUUAUCUGGGCCCAAGAUAUAGAAGGUCUCAGGCGAAGAAGAAGGAGAAGAUGAAGGCAAAGAAGAAGGAGGAGGAGAAGGAGGAGAAAGAGAAGAAGGAGAAGGAGGAGGAGAAGGAAAAGCAGCCUCAGCAGCUCUCAGCUUAUUAGAGAUCCUUCAUUCCUCUUGACUCAAUUCACACUUCAUAUCCCCAUCCUGGUUCUUCCUCUCUUGCGGGGUCUAGUUUGGGCUACACCUCCCUUAUUCUUCUUUUACCAUUUCAACCAAGCCUCUGAAAUAUAUUUAUUCACACAUCUUAA
This is a long non-coding RNA of Leopardus geoffroyi (Geoffroy's cat), 362 nucleotides long. RefSeq lists it as uncharacterized. The transcript has 2 exons. The record is from RefSeq and is a predicted model, not a curated record. NCBI's taxonomy places the organism in Eukaryota, Metazoa, Chordata, Mammalia, Carnivora, Felidae.